RNAcentral lists this long non-coding RNA (211 nucleotides) under Ananas comosus (pineapple). RNAcentral's name for it is "long non-coding RNA (ACOM_LNC037214)". Lineage: Eukaryota; Viridiplantae; Streptophyta; Magnoliopsida; Poales; Bromeliaceae. The record is from RNAcentral.
UUAUCAUCAAGCACCAAUUUUCUAACUAAUAUGUAUCAUCAACCACCAAUUUCUUUCAAAACUCUUUUAUUAAUUUUUGAGUCAUUAACCACCAAUUUCUUUCAAAACCCUUUUAUUAAUUUAACUAAUAUGUAUCAUCAACCACCAAUUUCUUUCAAAACCCUUUUAUUAAUUUUUCUUGCCUACUCCUACAUUUUCUUUCUCCUCUGAU